UUCGCCCUUAGAGUUUGAUCCUGGCUCAGGACGAACGCUGGCGGCGCGCUUAACACAUGCAAGUCGAACGGAGCUGAGAGGAGCUUGCUUUUCUCAGCUUAGUGGCGAACGGGUGAGUAACGCGUGAGUAACCUGCCCUGGAGUGGGGGACAACAGUUGGAAACGACUGCUAAUACCGCAUAAGCCCACGGCUCGGCAUCGAGCAGAGGGAAAAGGAGCAAUCCGCUUUGAGAUGGCCUCGCGUCCGAUUAGCUAGUUGGUGAGGUAACGGCCCACCAAGGCAACGAUCGGUAGCCGGACUGAGAGGUUGAACGGCCACAUUGGGACUGAGACACGGCCCAGACUCCUACGGGAGGCAGCAGUGGGGAAUAUUGCACAAUGGGGGAAACCCUGAUGCAGCGACGCCGCGUGGAGGAAGAAGGUCUUCGGAUUGUAAACUCCUGUUGUUGGGGAAGAUAAUGACGGUACCCAACAAGAAAGCACCGGCUAACUACGUGCCAGCAGCCGCGGUAAAACGUAGGGUGCAAGCGUUGUCCGGAAUUACUGGGUGUAAAGGGAGCGCAGGCGGGAAGACAAGUUGGAAGUGAAAACCAUGGGCUCAACCCAUGAAUUGCUUUCAAAACUGUUUUUCUUGAGUAGUGCAGAGGUAGAUGGAAUUCCCGGUGUAGCGGUGGAAUGCGUAGAUAUCGGGAGGAACACCAGUGGCGAAGGCGGUCUACUGGGCACCAACUGACGCUGAGGCUCGAAAGCAUGGGUAGCAAACAGGAUUAGAUACCCCGGUAGUCCAUGCCGUAAACGAUGAUUACUAGGUGUUGGAGGAUUGACCCCUUCAGUGCCGCAGUUAACACAAUAAGUAAUCCACCUGGGGAGUACGACCGCAAGGUUGAAACUCAAAGGAAUUGACGGGGGCCCGCACAAGCAGUGGAGUAUGUGGUUUAAUUCGACGCAACGCGAAGAACCUUACCAAGUCUUGACAUCCCUUGACAGACAUAGAAAUAUGUAAUCUCUUCGGAGCAAGGAGACAGGUGGUGCAUGGUUGUCGUCAGCUCGUGUCGUGAGAUGUUGGGUUAAGUCCCGCAACGAGCGCAACCCUUAUGGUCAGUUACUACGCAAGAGGACUCUGGCCAGACUGCCGUUGACAAAACGGAGGAAGGUGGGGAUGACGUCAAAUCAUCAUGCCCUUUAUGACUUGGGCUACACACGUACUACAAUGGCGUUAAACAAAGAGAAGCAAGACCGCGAGGUGGAGCAAAACUCAGAAACAACGUCCCAGUUCGGACUGCAGGCUGCAACUCGCCUGCACGAAGUCGGAAUUGCUAGUAAUCGUGGAUCAGCAUGCCACGGUGAAUACGUUCCCGGGCCUUGCACACACCGCCCGUCA
Molecule: ribosomal RNA, 1381 nt
Filed under: uncultured bacterium
Lineage: Bacteria
Description: 16S ribosomal RNA
Rfam family: Bacterial small subunit ribosomal RNA
Source: RNAcentral